CCUACGGGAGGCAGCAGUGAGGAAUAUUGGUCAAUGGGCGAGAGCCUGAACCAGCCAAGUCGCGUGAGGGAAGACGGUCCUAUGGAUUGUAAACCUCUUUUGCCGGGGAGCAAAAAGCGGUACGUGUACCGCAUCGAGAGUACCCGGAGAAAAAGCAUCGGCUAACUCCGUGCCAGCAGCCGCGGUAAUACGGAGGAUGCGAGCGUUAUCCGGAUUUAUUGGGGUUAAAGGGUGCGCAGGCGGCGAGUUAAGUCAGCGGUAAAAUUUCGGGGCUCAACCCCGACGAGCCGUUGAAACUGGCGUGCUAGAGUGGGCGAGAAGGAUGCGGAAUGCGUGGUGUAGCGGUGAAAUGCAUAGAUAUCACGCAGAACUCCGAUUGCGAAGGCAGCAUACCGGCGCCCAACUGACGCUCAGGCACGAAAGCGUGGGUAUCGAACAGGAUUAGAUACCCCUGUAGUC
This 459-nucleotide ribosomal RNA is filed under the name uncultured bacterium. Its description in RNAcentral is "partial 16S ribosomal RNA". It matches the Rfam family "Bacterial small subunit ribosomal RNA", at positions 338 to 795 of the family's 1533-position model. The record is from RNAcentral.